Molecule: ribosomal RNA, 518 nt
Filed under: uncultured bacterium
Lineage: Bacteria
Description: bacterial SSU rRNA
Rfam family: Bacterial small subunit ribosomal RNA
Source: RNAcentral
ACGACGCUGGCGGCGUGCCUAAUACAUGCAAGUCGAACGGUCUUUUCUAUGGAAGCUUGCUUCCACUGAGAAGAUAGUGGCGAACGGGUGAGUAACACGUGGGUAACCUGCCCAUAAGAGGGGGAUAACAUCCGGAAACGGGUGCUAAUACCGCAUAGUUUUUCUUGAUCGCAUGAUUGAGAAAGGAAAGACGGCCUUUGUGCUGUCGCUUAUGGAUGGACCCGCGGCGUAUUAGUUAGUUGGUGAGGUAACGGCUCACCAAGACGAUGAUACGUAGCCGACCUGAGAGGGUGAUCGGCCACAUUGGGACUGAGACACGGCCCAAACUCCUACGGGAGGCAGCAGUAGGGAAUCUUCCGCAAUGGACGAAAGUCUGACGGAGCAACGCCGCGUGAGUGAAGAAGGUUUUUCCGGAUCGUAAAACUCUGUUGUCAGAGAAGAACAAGUUGGAGAGUAACUGCUCCAGCCUUGACGGUAUCUGACCAGAAAGCCACGGCUAACUACGUGCCAGCAGCUGC